Molecule: ribosomal RNA, 503 nt
Filed under: uncultured bacterium
Lineage: Bacteria
Description: partial 16S ribosomal RNA
Rfam family: Bacterial small subunit ribosomal RNA
Source: RNAcentral
AUUGAACGCUGGCGGCAGGCUUAACACAUGCAAGUCGAGCGGAGUGAUGGUGCUUGCACUAUCACUUAGCGGCGGACGGGUGAGUAAUGCUUAGGAAUCUGCCUAUUAGUGGGGGACAACAUCUCGAAAGGGAUGCUAAUACCGCAUACGUCCUACGGGAGAAAGCAGGGGAUCACUUGUGGCCUUGCGCUAAUAGAUGAGCCUAAGUCGGAUUAGCUAGGUGGUGGGGUAAAGGCCUACCAAGGCGACGGUCUGUAGCGGGUAGGGGAGGAGGAAUCGGCGAACUGGGACUGAGAAAACGGCCAGAAUACUACGGGGGGGAGCAGGGGGGAAUAUUGGACAAAGGGGGGAACCCUGAUCCAGCCAUGCCGCGUGUGUGAAGAAGGCCUUAUGGUUGUAAAGCACUUUAAGCGAGGAGGAGGCUCUUUUGGUUAAUACCCAAGAUGAGUGGACGUUACUCGCAGAAUAAGCACCGGCUAACUCUGUGCCAGCCGCCGCCGUAA